CCUGGAUGAUAUCUCCCUUGGGGGUUCAUAUUCAACCCUCUGGAUGAUAUCUCCCUUGGGGUUCAUAUUCAACCCCCUGGAUGAUAUCUCCCUUGGGGUUCAUAUUCAACCCUCUGGAUGAUAUCUCCCUUGGGGGUUCAUAUUCAACCCUCUGGAUGAUAUCUCCCUUGGGGUUCAUAUUCAACCCCCUGGAUGAUAUCUCCCUUGGGGGUUCAUAUUCCACCCCCUGGAUGAUAUCUCCCUUGGGGUUCAUAUUCAACCCCCUGGAUGAUAUCUCCCUUGGGGUUCAUAUUCAACCCCCUGGAUCAUAUGUCCGUCUGUAUGGACCAGAUACUGUACGUCACAUAACUACAUCUCCAGUGAACGACACAUAUAUCCAAUGCGUGUCUUUGAGGCAUGUUCACCUGCCCAUUAGGUUACUGCUGCUGCAUUUCCCAUCCCCUUGCCUUUACUCACAUUCAAGUUACCUCAAUAUUGGAACCCAGGGGCCCGCAGUGAUUUUAUUUGGCCACACCCCCAAUUUAAAAAUACUGUAAAAACACCAGCAAAUCAGCUGCAAGAGAUUUGACAUUUUAGAAACGUGUUCCAUAGUAUUCCCUAACACAUAACAGAGAUACAUGUGAUCGUAUACAAAUGGAAAAAGGUUUUUUUUUUUUGUCAAAUAUGUGUUGUGGCUUCUUGUGGUCAAUUUGCAGUCUAUAAAUAAUCUCUAAUGAUGUUUUCCAAACCUCUGAACAUCUGCUGAAGAAUGUAAAAAUGUUCCUGAGGCUGAAUCUAGUUGAUGUUCCCCUGCUGUAACCACCAGCUAACCUGGCUACAAGGUUGAGCUCAGUUCAGGAAGUACACUCAAAUUCCAAUUCUCUUCCAUAAAGAACAUUUGGAAUUGGGUUUACUUUCUCUAUUGACUGGAAUUAUAAUAAUAUAAUAUGCCAUUUAGCAGACGCUUUUAUCCAAAGCGACUUAGUCAUGUGUGCAUACAUUCUACGUAUGGGUGGUCCCGGGGAUCGAACCCACUACCCUGGCGUUACAAGCGCCAUGCUCUACCAACUGAGCUACAGAAGGACCAGGAAUUGAAAUGGAAUUGAGCCCAACCCUGUCUGUCUGUAUCAUAUAAAAUACCCACUGGGCAAAAACUGGUUGAAUCAACGUUAUUACAGCAUUUCAACCAAAAAAAAUGACGUGAUGAAAUUCAAUCAAUGUGGAAAACUGAUUGGAUGAGAAAGUUAUCAACCAAUGGGAAUUUAGUCUAUUUUACACCCAUCUUUUAACCUAAAUCCAAUGUCAUGGUGACAUUUUUAGUUAAUUUAACAUUGGAUUCAUGUUGACAACUCAACCAAGUAUAAAUGAAAACUAAUGUUGAACUGACGUCUGUGCCCAGUGGGGACAUAGCCUACAUUAUACCACUGCAGCCCAUGUCUGUAAAACUGAGCUUCUGCUUCUUAUACUUCUGGAAACAACCACAGGGUCAUGUCAUGGAAUUUGUAAGUUAUUUAAUUUGUCUGUUUUUAUUUUCAGGACAAAAAACAAUGAAUGUCUAUGGUAUUAGUUUUGUAUCUCCUUUUCAUGGAGCUGAUUGUUUUAAGCGUUUGGCUUUGAUAAAAAGAACAGCAAGGAGCACUCAGUUCUAUUCCAGAACACAGGUAAAGAACACCAAGGAGCACUCAGUUCUAUUCCAGAACACACGUAAAGAACACCAAGGAGCACUCAGUUCUAUUCCAGAACACACGUAAAGAACACCAAGGAGCACUCAGUUCUAUUCCAGAACACACGUAAAGAACACCAAGGAGCACUCAGUUCUAUUCCAGAACACAGGUAAAGAACACCAAGGAGCACUCAGUUCUAUUCCAGAACACAGGUAAAGAACACCAAGGAGCACUCAGUUCUAUUCCAGAACACAGGUAAAGAACACCAAGGAGCACUCAGUUCUAUUCCAGACCCCAGGUAAAGAGCACCAAGGAGCACUCAGUUCUAUUCCAGAACACACGUAAAGAACACCAAGGAAUUAUUUUCCAGAAACCAGCUAAAGACAAACUAUUCUGACUGGUCUGAAUGUUCACUUAAAAUAAAUCUUCCCUGGUAUUGGUUUCCACCACUAUUUAACAACACAUGUAUCUUAUUGUGUGGUUAAAUCAGACCCAGUUCUGAUUGUUAUUUUGUGUUGAGCGAGAGCUCCCUUGGUGGGCUUCAAGCUCCCUUGAUAUCAGCGCUGUAUUAAUGUGAUGUGACUGAGCUGAAGGCCUGAGCUUCCCUUGCCUCCGCCUCACGUGGGAUCCUUUGUCUUCUAUGCCAGGUCCAUGGACGUUAUCGGCCGCCUUUCCCUGCUCAGACAUUGCUGGACUCAACCAAUGGUUGAGUGCCACUUCAUUGACUGUGCUGUCGGGCACCAGACCGAUAUAACAUGUGGUUAUCUGACCGGUUAAACACCUAUCCAGGCGUUGUGAGAUCUGGAAUGCAUCAGCAACAUCUGGCCAGAGGAACACACCCAUAUAUAUAAAACGACAGGCCUCUGAGAUACGCUACCAUGGCAACCUUAAUUCAUACUGUCAGGCAGCCAAAGCUGACUAAUCACAGCAGCUUCCUCCUUUCCUAUGUUUGACAAGGAAUGUGUGUGAUUGGCUGUAGAGGAGAAAAGGUGGUGUUGUGGGCGUGCCUUAGAUGGGUUUUCGAAUAGAACUUACCUGGGCUGCGUUCAGCAGGGCACGACGUUGUGGAAUUGUGUCAGCUCUAUUCAUAGCAUUUCUAUCUGCAGUGUUCAGUGUAUUACAACCUGCUGAACGCAUCCCUGCUUAAGUUAGACUUCUGUAGACUGCAUUUUAAUCAUUACUCUUUUUAUCAUUUGUAUUGCAUGAAUGUUGCACAUUUUAUGUUCUGGAAAUAAUCUGGGAUUCACAGAUUAUUUAUUAAAAACAACACAUUCAAACUGA
Long non-coding RNA from Oncorhynchus keta (chum salmon), 2924 nucleotides. RefSeq lists it as uncharacterized. The record is from RefSeq and is a predicted model, not a curated record. The transcript has 2 exons. Lineage: Eukaryota; Metazoa; Chordata; Actinopteri; Salmoniformes; Salmonidae.